CAGCAGCCACGGUAAGACAGAGGAUGCAAGCGUUAUCCGGAAUUAUUGGGCGUAAAGGGCUCGCAGGCGGUUUCUUAAGUCUGACGUGAAAGCCCCCGGCUCAACCGGGGAGGGUCAUUGGAAACUGGGAAACUUGAGUGCAGAAGAGGAGAGUGGAAUUCCACGUGUAGCGGUGAAAUGCGUAGAGAUGUGGAGGAACACCAGUGGCGAAGGCGACUCUCUGGUCUGUAACUGACGCUGAGGAGCGAAAGCGUGGGGAGCGAACAGGAUUAGAUACCCCUGUAGUCCCUGUCUCUUAUAC
This 301-nucleotide ribosomal RNA is filed under the name uncultured bacterium. Its description in RNAcentral is "partial 16S ribosomal RNA". It matches the Rfam family "Bacterial small subunit ribosomal RNA", at positions 509 to 807 of the family's 1533-position model. The record is from RNAcentral.